This 2520-nucleotide ribosomal RNA is filed under the name Triticum aestivum (bread wheat). RNAcentral's name for it is "partial small subunit ribosomal RNA". The record is from RNAcentral. Lineage: Eukaryota; Viridiplantae; Streptophyta; Magnoliopsida; Poales; Poaceae.
AUGUCAUUGUUCACUUCUUACCAGGUCACAGGCCACGGGUCCGUAUUGAUGGGGAAUGACGCGAGUGCUUCUGUUCAUGGUGUUGGCACGGUCGAUCUGAAGUUUACUUCGGGAAGGAUCGUGCAGCUGAAGAACGUGCAGCAUGUCCCCGCCAUCAAGAAGAACCUCGUUAGUGGCUCCCUUCUAUGUAGAGAAGGGUUUAAGUUGGUUUUCGAGUCUAAUAAAUUAGUUGUUACGAAAUAUGGACUCUUUGUUGGAAAAGGUUAUGAGAGCGGAGGGAUGUUCCACCUUUCCCUCGCAGAUUUUUGUAAUAAAGUCGUGAACCAUGUUCAUUCGAAUGUUAAUGAAUCUGAGGUUUGGCAUUCACGUCUUUGUCACAUUAGUUUCGGUGUUAUGACGCGGCUAGCCAAGUUGGAUUUAAUCCCGAGUUUUACUUUAGCCAAAGGCUCUAAGUGCCUUUCAUGUGUGCAAGCUAAGCAACCUCGCAAGCCUCACAAGGCCGCGGAGGAGAGACACUUGGCACCAUUAGAACUCAUACAUUCUGAUCUUUGUGAGAUGAAUGGUGUGUUGACUAAAGGUGGAAAGAAAUACUUCAUGACAUUGAUAGAUGAUUCCUCUAGAUAUUGCUAUGUGUACCUGUUAAAUACUAAAGAUGAGGCUCUACACUACUUUAAAAUCUAUAAGGCAGAAGUUGAGAAUCAACUUGAAAAGAAAAUUAAACGAGUCCGGUCAGAUUGUGGUGGAGAGUACUUCUCGAGUGAGUUUGAUUCCUUCUGUGCGGAACACGGCAUUAUUCAUGAGAGGACGCCUCCCUAUUCACCCCAGUCAAACGGGGUUGCCGAGCGGAAAAACCGUACUCUAACUGAUUUGGUUAACGCCAUGUUAGAUACAUCGGGUUUAUCCAAGGCAUGGUGGGGGGAGGCUAUAUUGACGGCAUGUCAUGUCCUGAAUAAAGUUCCGACAAAGGAUAAUGAGAUCACUCCCUAUGAGAAAUGGGCAAAGAGGAGGACAACACUCUCGUACUUGCGCACUUGGGGCUGUCUGGCGAAAGUCAAUGUGCCGAUCCCCAAAAAGCGUAAGCUUGGACCCAAGACUGUGGACUGCGUUAAUUUGGGCUACGCUAAGAACAGCGUUGGCUAUAGAUUUCUAGUAGUGAAAUCUGAGGUACCUGACCAGAAGGUCGGUACAAUUAUGGAGUCUAACGAUGCUACAUUCUUCGAGGAUACUUUUCCUAUGAGAGAUAUGCAAAGCACUUCUAGACAGGAAUCUGAGGAGACUCCUGAACCUGCCAUCCCUAUGGAAUAUUAUGAACAAACACAUGAUGAAAAUCCUGAGGAGGAUGACGAGGAAACCCUUGGUAGGGGCAAGAGACAAAGGACUGCAAAGACCUUUGGUGAUGAUUUCUUCGUGUACCUCGUGGAUGAUACUCCCACUUCUAUUUCAGAAGCGUAUGCCUCUUCAGAAGCUGACUACUGGAAGGAUGCGGUUCGUAAUGAGAUGGAUUCCAUCAUGGCUAACGGGACAUGGGAGAUCACUGAACGUCCCUAUGGUUGCAAACCAUUAGGAUGUAAGUGGGUGUUCAAGAAGAAGCUUAGGCCCGAUGGUACAAUUGAAAAGUACAAGGCUAGGCUUGUGGCCAAGGGCUAUGACCAGAAAGAAGAGGAAGAUUACUUCGACACUUAUUCACCUGUAGCUAGACUGACCACCAUUCGAGUAUUACUCUCGUUGGCAGCCUCGCAUGGUCUUCUCGUCCACCAGAUGGAUGUUAAGACGGCUUUUCUGAAUGGAGAGCUAAAAGAGGAAAUCUACAUGCAACAGCCAGAUGGCUUUGUGAUAGAUGGUCAGGAAAGAAAGGUGUGUAGGUUGCUGAAAUCUUUAUAUGGCCUGAAGCAAGCACCUAAGCAAUGGCAUGAUAAGUUUAAUAUAACUCUGACAUCUGUUGGUUUCGUUGUUAAUGAGGCUGACAAAUGUGUAUACUAUCGCCAUGGUGGGGGUGAAGGAGUUAUACUGUGCUUGUAUGUUGAUGACAUACUGAUAUUCGGAACCAACCUCAAAGUCAUUGAGGAGGUCAAGUCGUUUUUGUCUCAGAACUUUGAGAUGAAAGACCUUGGUGUGGCUGAUGUUAUCUUGAACAUCAAGCUACUGAGAGAUAAUGAGGGUGGGAUUACACUUCUGCAAUCCCACUAUGUUGAGAAGGUGUUGAGUCGUUUUGGAUAUUCGGAUUGCACACCAUCUCAAACACCAUAUGAUCCUAGCGUGUUGAUUCGAAAGUCCAAAGGCACGGCUAUAGAUCAGUUGAGAUACUCUCAAAUCAUUGGUUCACUGAUGUACCUAGCGAGCGCAACGAGGCCCGACAUCGCGUUUGCUGUGAGCAAACUGAGCCGGUUUGUUUCCAAACCGGGUGAUGUACAUUGGCAUGCUGUUGAACGAGUCAUGCGCUAUCUGAAAGGUACUAUGAACUAUGGACUUCACUAUACCGGAGACCCGUCGGUACUUGAAGGGUAUAGUGAUGCAAAUUGA